Molecule: RNA transcript, 1951 nt
Organism: Hyalella azteca
Lineage: Eukaryota; Metazoa; Arthropoda; Malacostraca; Amphipoda; Hyalellidae
Exons: 5
Source: RefSeq, a predicted model, not a curated record
GUCAUUUUGGGGAAUUGGAUUGUGUGCUGUCUGACGAGUAGCGGCUGAUUUUUAUCAUCUACGGUAGAAGGUCUGCCACUCUGCCUGUUAUAUCGACAAUUAUUUUUUUUAACAAUUUUGAAUAUAAAAAUUUGAAUGAAAAGGACAUAAACCUUGAAGAAUUGUCCCAGCUCAUUGCUGCCAGCAGCUCUGAUGUACAGCUCCUUCAAAAAGAAGUCAUGGCUUUUUUACACCACCAGCUGGCUGGGUUGGAGAAAGUUAACUUGGAAGCAUCUGCCUUAACAACAACAAUAACCACAUGCAAUUUCCAGUCAAAAUUUGAAGAAUUGACCAAGUACACACAUAUCGCCAAGAACCUGGUGUCCGACAUGCAGCACAUAUCAUACAGGACCAACAAGUUGCAAGCCAGAGCCCAACGAUUAGUGCAAGAGUCAGCCAGACGAUCUGAAGCUCAGUCAAGGGAACGGGCAAGAAUGGCUGAGAGGGAACGGCAAUUGCUAGCACGCCCCACUUGGCAGUCUUGACCACGCCUUUUUGACAGUCUUGACUAUGCCUUUUUGACAGUCUUGACUAUGCCUUUUUGACAGUCUUGACUACGCCUUCUUUGCAAUCUUGACUAUGUCCUCUGGGCAGUCUUGACUACGCCUUCUUGGCAGUCUUGACUAUGCCUUGUUUGCAAUCUUGACUACGUCCUCUUGGCAGUCUUGACUAUGCCUUCUUGUCAGUCUUGACUAUGCCUUCUUGGCAGUCUUGACUAUGCCUUCUUGGCAGUCUUGACUACGUCCUCCUGCAAGUCCUUACUCCAGACUUUUUUUCGGUUUUGAAAGCUCUGACGUUAUCCUCUUGCUUCAUCCUUGAAGUUGUUACUAACUGUUGGGCAUUAACGAGUAACUAUAAUUAUGAACUAAACUGUUCCCCGUAGCUGCUAUUAAUCUUAUGCUUGAUAACUGUAAUUAAGUAAAGGUGCAUAUUAUCAAGCAAAAUCCAUGCGAUAAAGGGUAUCUCUCCUUAUACGGUAUUUUUAGACCAUUGAGACGCAAAACAGUUCCCAAACCUUAUGUUGCUUCAGUCAUCUCGCAACUAAAUGAUCGGUUAACAUUUUUAUAAAAAAAUAACGAUUUAUAUGGAGCUACAAAACUGUAUUUUUGUCCAGUUGUUCAUUUACAUAGUUUAAUUGCAAUAGUGUAGAUUAAAUAAAUAUUGUUAAUCUUUGUCUUUCACUUGUUUGCAUCGUUGCGAUGAAUAAUUUAGGCAGUUCCUUUGUUGUAGUUAUACCUACUUAGUUGAAUCAAGUUGAAUGAAUCUCUGGCGCUGGAUAACUUCUUUCUACUGAUUUUAUUGAAUAUGAAUUUUAUUAUUUCUGGUGUUACGUCGACUGAGUCAGCGUUUGUAUGCUGAACAUUUUUCAAUGCCAGUUUUCCAUAUUUCGUGAGGGUUUGAUGCUCACGAACCACCAUGAUGGAUUUCAUGAAACGCGCCUUAUACUUAAUUGACCUCGUGACACAUGCCUUAUAAAUGUUCAUACGCACGUUUAUAUAGUUUGUCACUACCUUCAGCGACAUAGUAGUCUUACCUUCUAAUAGAGAUGAUUAAUAUACAAACGAUAUUGUUACGAUCUCUAUUGUCAUAUAUCGUUCGCUUUGAGAUCGUUAUCCUCAGUUGAACCCAAAUGAAUGCAUUUCUGGUAUGCAUUUUUUUUGUACUUGUAAGCGGUAAAUUAGACUCUGUGGUGAUUCAACUGUUGCUAGCUGUAGCUUGCCACUGCGAUCCUACCUGUCAAAAAGUUGUGACAAUAAAACUAAACCAUACUAAAAGUCUAGUUGAUGGUAGUCUCUCUGUAGGAUUGCUUUUUGAAAAGCUAUUGUGUGGCCGUCUUCUGUCGUAUUGUUUGUAAUUAAAGGAGUCUAAUUUCAUUAUUGGUUGAAGUUGAAAAUAAAUUCUAUUUCAUUUU